GACGAACGCUGGCGGCGUGCUUAACACAUGCAAGUCGAACGGAAAGGCCCUUCGGGGUACUCGAGUGGCGAACGGGUGAGUAACACGUGGGUGAUCUGCCCUGCACUUUGGGAUAAGCCUGGGAAACUGGGUCUAAUACCGAAUAGGACCGCGCGCUUCAUGGUGUGUGGUGGAAAGCUUUUGCGGUGUGGGAUGGGCCCGCGGCCUAUCAGCUUGUUGGUGGGGUAUUGGCCUACCAAGGCGACGACGGGUAGCCGGCCUGAGAGGGUGACCGGCCACACUGGGACUGAGAUACGGCCCAGACUCCUACGGGAGGCAGCAGUGGGGAAUAUUGCACAAUGGGCGCAAGCCUGAUGCAGCGACGCCGCGUGAGGGAUGACGGCCUUCGGGUUGUAAACCUCUUUCACCAGGGACGAAGCGCAAGUGACGGUACCUGGAGAAGAAGCACCGGCCAACUACGUG
This 462-nucleotide ribosomal RNA is filed under the name uncultured bacterium. RNAcentral's name for it is "partial 16S ribosomal RNA". It matches the Rfam family "Bacterial small subunit ribosomal RNA", at positions 28 to 507 of the family's 1533-position model. The record is from RNAcentral.